UCCUACGGGAGGCAGCAGUGGGGAAUAUUGCACAAUGGGCGAAAGCCUGAUGCAGCAACGCCGCGUGCGGGAUGAAGGCCUUCGGGUUGUAAACCGCUUUCACCAGGGACGAAGUUGACGGUACCUGGAGAAGAAGCACCGGCUAACUACGUGCCAGCAGCCGCGGUGAUACGUAGGGUGCGAGCGUUGUCCGGAUUUAUUGGGCGUAAAGAGCUCGUAGGCGGUUUGUUGCGUCGGAAGUGAAAACCCAGGGCUUAACUUUGGGCUUGCUUUCGAUACGGGCAGACUUGAGGAAGGUAGGGGAGAACGGAAUUCCUGGUGGAGCGGUGGAAUGCGCAGAUAUCAGGAGGAACACCGGUGGCGAAGGCGGUUCUCUGGACCUUUCCUGACGCUGAGGAGCGAAAGCGUGGGGAGCAAACAGGAUUAGAUACCCUAGUAGUCCU
This 443-nucleotide ribosomal RNA is filed under the name uncultured Propionicimonas sp. RNAcentral describes it as "bacterial SSU rRNA". It matches the Rfam family "Bacterial small subunit ribosomal RNA", at positions 337 to 797 of the family's 1533-position model. The record is from RNAcentral. Lineage: Bacteria; Bacillati; Actinomycetota; Actinomycetes; Propionibacteriales; Nocardioidaceae.